UACCUGCAGCUCAAGUGGUGACCACUAUUAUUGGGCCUAAAGCAUCCGUAGCUGGCUGGACAAGUCCCCUGUUAAAUCCACCGAUUUAAUCGUUGGUGUGCGGGGGAUACUGUUCGGCUAGGGGACGGGAGAGGCCGACGGUAUUUCCGGGGUAGGGGUGAAAUCCUAUAAUCCCGGGAAGACCACCAGUGGCGAAGGCUGUCGGCUAGAACGCGCCCGACGGUGAGGGAUGAAAGCUGGGGGAGCGAACCGGAUUAGAUACCCGGGUAGUCCCAGCUGUAAACGAUGCAGGCUAGGUGUUUGGGCGGCCACGUGCCGCUCUAGUGCCGCAAGGAAGCUGUUAAGCCUGCCGCCUGGGGAGUACGGCCGCAAGGCUGAAACUUAAGGGAAUUGGCGGGGGAGCACCACAAGGGGUGAAGCUUGCGGUUU
Molecule: ribosomal RNA, 429 nt
Filed under: uncultured archaeon
Lineage: Archaea
Description: bacterial SSU rRNA
Rfam family: Archaeal small subunit ribosomal RNA
Source: RNAcentral